This 468-nucleotide ribosomal RNA is filed under the name uncultured bacterium. Its description in RNAcentral is "partial 16S ribosomal RNA". It matches the Rfam family "Bacterial small subunit ribosomal RNA", at positions 28 to 507 of the family's 1533-position model. The record is from RNAcentral.
GAUGAACGCUGGCGGCGUGCUUAAUACAUGCAAGUCGAAUGGACAGGCCCGGCUCUUGCGGGGUGCUCGUGUGGCGAACGGGUGAGUAACACGUGUGUAACCUGUCCCUGUCUUUGUGAUAACUUCUGGAGACUGGGGCUAUAACCGGAUAGGAGCUCUUGCUGCGCGGUGGGGGUUGGAAAGUUUCGGCGGUGGGGGCUGGACUCGCGGGUUAUCCGCUGGUUGGGGGGGUAGUGGCUGGCCAAGGUUUUGACGGGUAGCCGGCCUGAGAGGCUUACCGGCCACAUUGGGACUGAGGUACGGACCAGUAUCCUACGGGAGGCAGCAGUGGAAAGUAUUGCGGAAUGGGCGGGAGCCUGAUGCGAAAACGCCGCGUGCGGAAUGACGGCCUUCGGGUUAUGAACCGCUUUCGCCUGUAACAAAGCGUUAUUGACGGUAAUGAGUAAAGAAGCACCGGCUAACUACGUG